Molecule: long non-coding RNA, 2947 nt
Organism: Brassica rapa (field mustard)
Lineage: Eukaryota; Viridiplantae; Streptophyta; Magnoliopsida; Brassicales; Brassicaceae
Source: RefSeq, a predicted model, not a curated record
AAUUUUGAAAUUUUGCUUUGAAUUUUUUUUAAUUUAUAAAUUAUUAAACAAAUGAUUAAAAAACAGUAUAAGUAGACAAAAUUAUUUAAUAAAUAUCAAUAUUAACAAUAUACUAUAUAUAUGUGUUAAUCUCAUUUAAAUUUAAUUAUAGACCAUAUAAAAUAAAAAAGUGAUUGUUCAGAUUAAUAAAAUUUAUUUAUGUGUUUGCAUCAAUUUAAUAAUAAACACAAUAUGUAUUGAAUUUUUUAAUAUUAUAUAUAUAUAUAAUUUUAUAAUAUGUAAAAAUAUAUAAUACAUAAAAACAAUUUAAAUAAUAUUUAUCUCGCGCAAGGUGUGGAUCUUAACUUAGGUUUAUAAGUAAAGCAGUGUAGAUCAAACAACCUCGUUCUUGAACGAUCCUAGUUAAAUCAACAAUCUUUUAUUUUUUUUUUUAAUUUUUUUUUUCAACUUUUAUGUUAUAUCUGUAAAAUUUAGGAACUUUAAUUUAAAAUCAACGGUCAAAUGAAACUAAUAUAACCAGAGUUUAGUAUAAUCCAUGUUCUAAAAUGCGUUCUCCGCGGCCGCAUACUCGCCGGAAAACCGUGAGUCAGCUGGUCACCACCGCGAUUUGAUACUAUUUGCUCAGUUAAUCACCAAAAUUUAUAAGUUCAUUGCUUUAUAGAUUUUAAACUUGAUAUCACAUUCUAAGUUACGAUUUGUAUUAUUUAAACCAAAACUUACAAAAUUAAUACGAAAAAGACUGAAACUCAAAAAAAAAAAAAAUAGAAAACAGCUACAGGUUUCGCAUGAAGAAGGUGGAAAACGAGGGCAAUUUUGUCAAUUACCAUUUUAUUUAACAUAAUUCUAAAAUAUUGUCCAAAAUGUUCAAUGUGACCGUGUUGGGUAGGCUAAUUAAGCUCAACAAAGGCCACUACACCAUGGAUCCAAGACGUGAUACUUAAUCUUAUUUAAUAUAUAAUCAUAUACUUAUUUAGAAACCCUAAAAUAACUCCAAUUAAUCUCCGUAUAAUCUCUGAUUAAUUGAUUACGCGCUAGGUCCUACCCAGCCGCACACAUAACGCCUGGUGUAGUUUCGAACUGAGAGUAUAAUAUAUGUUAUUGGGUUGUAGAAUAUAAUAUUCUUAAUCGCAAUACUAGGAAUUUCUCUAUAAAAUAUAUUAUAUUUUGAAAAAUCGUUGCUAGUGCCACGUCAAUCAGUAAGGGUAAGUUUUAUUAUUAUGACACCUUAGCUUGGUAAUAUGCUAGUAAGGUUGUGUAAUUAAAUUGAUUCUCACAAAAUAGAUAGAAAGUUUUGAUUCAAAUUCUAACUUGGUUGUUGAAUAAAUUAGUUUUCAAAUUAGAUGCUUUUCAUUUUAAAUGGAGAAUGGCUAAAAUUAUCACAGAAACUGACAUAAAAGUAUGUGUAUAGAAGACAAUCAAAAAUAUAACAAUAAAGAUAUUCUUUUUAGUCAAACGUCUAUUAAUUUAUAUAGUUUAACAAAUUGGUUAUUUCUAUCUAGAGCAUCCUAUUUAAACCAACAAUCGAAUCUUUUAUACUAUUAAACUUGGAAAUUAGAAUUUAAAUUCAACUGAUAAUGAAUACAUAUUGACUUACCUUACUAUAAAAUCUAUCAGUUUUAAUUAAUUUCAAGAUAUUUUUCCUAUUUGUUUUUCAUGAUUUGUUUGUAUGAGUCAUCUUCUUUAUUAUAAGUUUACUCUUGAUUUCUUUCUAUGUUUUUCAAUUUGUGGUACUUUUGAAAAAUAUCUACAAAUCUAAUUUGUUAUAUAUAAGAUAUUCAUGGAUGCAAUACAACCUCAUCACUGUUCUUUAUUUUAAAUUUUUCGCUUUUUGUUGCAUCAUCAAAAAUGGCUAAAACCACAAUUCUUGCUAUUUUCAUGGUUGUUCUUGUUUUAGGGACGGUGAUGGAGUCACAAGGACAAGAAAUGUGUACUGAUUAUUCUAAAGGAUCAGCACUUUGCGAAGCUAAACCAUGUAAUGAUCAGUGUGUACGCAAGUAUAAUGGACAUGGCAGGUGCUUAGACACAAUGUGCGUCUGCACUUAUAUUUGUAAAACUUAAUUUUUAUUUGUUACUAAUAAACUAUCAUCAAAUAUUUUUAAAUAAAAAUGUGUGAAAAAGAAUAUCGCAAUUUUCUUAGAACGUGAAUUCUGAUUUCAGCUAUUGGACAUCAUAACAAAACAUGAAUCAUACACAACUAGUAACUAAUGGUAUGUUAGUGGCAAUGUCAUAUUUGAAGCACAACAUGACGUAAAUUAGUUUUUCAGACUCUUUAAAUUAUUUUUUUUGCUGUUUAACCAGUUUGGAUCUAAGUCCCGACAGUUAGCACGUUAGUCCGGUAACCGACGUCUAGCUACCCUAAAUAUUAGUCAAAAAGUAUUUCAAACCCGAAUCUAUUAAUAUGAUAAUCUAAUAUAGCUUUAAAUGCAUUCUUUUUAGGAUCGUCAGAAUCAACCGCUAGAUGCAUCAAAAAAGACGGGAAUUAUAAACCGCAAAUUUCAGCAUAUAUGCCAUAUAUAUAAGUCAGAUAUGUCGAUCAUAAUAAAAAAAAUAACUUUUUCAAUAUUAUAGAUGAUGAAAAUGUAAAAGUGUAGUACAAAAUUCAUAAAAAUAUCUAAUACCAAUUAAUUUGUAUAAUUAAAAUUAUCUUAUGCGUUAUUAAGUUAUUGGCUCAAUAGAGAGUGAUGCACAUGUUGAAUUCCAGAAACUUACGUAUGGCUUCAUAAUUAAGAGUGGUUUAUAAGGCCAAUAUAUUUGUUCAAACUGCAGUGAUUGCUAUGUAUGCUAAAUGCAUAUACUUUAAAACUGCAAGUACUAUGUUACAAGAUAUGGAAGUUGGUGAUGUGGUUUCUUGGAAUUCGAUGGUUGUUAAGUGUGCUAGAGAAGUAAAGCAGUGUAGAUCAAACAACCUCGUUCUUGAACCAUCCUAGUUAAAUCAACAAUCUUUUCU